CCGCGGUAAGACAGAGGGUGCAAACGUUGUUCGGAUUUACUGGGCGUAAAGCGCGUGUAGGCGGCUUCGCAAGUUGGAUGUGAAAUCCCACGGCUCAACCGUGGACGUGCAUCCAAAACUGCGUCGCUAGAGUCUCGGAGAGGAAGGUGGAAUGCUUGGUGUAGAGGUGAAAUUCGUAGAUAUCAAGCAGAACACCUGCGGCGAAGGCGGCCUUCUGGACGAUGACUGACGCUGAGACGCGAAAGCGUGGGGAGCAAACAGG
RNAcentral lists this ribosomal RNA (262 nucleotides) under uncultured bacterium. Its description in RNAcentral is "partial 16S ribosomal RNA". It matches the Rfam family "Bacterial small subunit ribosomal RNA", at positions 515 to 776 of the family's 1533-position model. The record is from RNAcentral.